CAACUUUGCUUUCAGAUAACCCUCCUUCCUCCACCUCACAAAAACUCACAAGCUGCAACCCUUCUGAUGUCCACUCCCACACAAACCAGCUUCAGGCCUUUUUCAAGAUGUGACUGGAGUGAUUUGCACCCGGAUGCCUAGACUCGCCAUCUGCUCAAAGACUGCUCAGAAAGCCCUCCCAUGCAUUCCCCUGCUGCAUACCAGCCCACUCUGCCUGCAGCUGCUGUCUGCAGGACUUCAUAUCUAUGCCACACUGUGUAAAAGCUGUGCUUCAAGAAAUCACAAAAACAUUUUCCUGCACCUACUACACAGCCUGAGUGCGGCAUAAGUUGACCUUGCUUGCUAAGAAAUGGGGCAAGAAAUGCUUUUUUGUGUGUGUCAUGUCUGUUUGUUUUUCAAUUAAGAGAGGAAAGCAUUAGGCAGAUGGAAUGUACAUGUGAGGAUGAGGAGACAGAAAACAAGUAGCCCUUUCCAUCAAGAUAGAGGGUUUUCUGGGGUUGCUGGCUAUUGAAUGUCACUCCUGAUUUCUCUUUCCAAGGCACUGUACCACCAGCCUACUGAGAUUGUGUGGGAGCUUUCAUGGGGGUUGUAUUUCACUGAUGAAAAUAAAUUUUUUGCAUAAUGUG
Molecule: long non-coding RNA, 626 nt
Filed under: Homo sapiens (human)
Lineage: Eukaryota; Metazoa; Chordata; Mammalia; Primates; Hominidae
Description: non-protein coding MIR100HG:36
Source: RNAcentral